This 505-nucleotide ribosomal RNA is filed under the name uncultured Geobacter sp. RNAcentral describes it as "bacterial SSU rRNA". It matches the Rfam family "Bacterial small subunit ribosomal RNA", at positions 335 to 831 of the family's 1533-position model. Lineage: Bacteria; Pseudomonadati; Thermodesulfobacteriota; Desulfuromonadia; Geobacterales; Geobacteraceae. The record is from RNAcentral.
ACUCCUACGGGAGGCAGCAGUGGGGAAUUCUGCGCAAUGGGGGAAACCCUGACGCAGCAACGCCGCGUGAGUGAUGAAGGCCCUUGGGUCGUAAAGCUCUGACAGAGGGAAAGAAAUGCGGGGUGGCUAAUAUCCAUCUUGCUUGACGGUACCCUCAAAGGAAGCACCGGCUAACUCCGUGCCAGCAGCCGCGGUAAUACGGGGGGUGCAAGCGUUGUUCGGAUUUAUUGGGCGUAAAGCGCGUGUAGGCGGUUUCUUAAGUCUGAUGUGAAAGCCCUGGGCUCAGCCUGGGAAGUGCAUUGGAUACUGGAAGACUUGAAUACGGGAGAGGGCAGUGGAAUUCCUGGUGUAGGAGUGAAAUCCGUAGAUAUCAGGAGGAACACCGGUGGCGAAGGCGGCUGCCUGGACCGAUAUUGACGCUGAGACGCGAAAGCGUGGGUAGCAAACAGGAUUAGAUACCCUGGUAGUCCACGCCGUAAACGAUGAGAACUAGGUGUUGCGGGUA